GCCGGGCAUGGUAGUGCAUGCCUGUAAUCCCAGCUACUCAGGAGACUGAGGCAGGAGAAUCGCUUGAACCCAGGAAGCUUAGGUUGCAGUGAGCCAAGAUCGCACCACUGCAUUCCAGCCUGGGUGACAGAGCAAGACUCUGUCUCAA
Unclassified non-coding RNA from Macaca fascicularis (crab-eating macaque), 148 nucleotides. It matches the Rfam family "Metazoan signal recognition particle RNA". From Rfam's summary of the family: The signal recognition particle (SRP) is a universally conserved ribonucleoprotein. NCBI's taxonomy places the organism in Eukaryota, Metazoa, Chordata, Mammalia, Primates, Cercopithecidae. The record is from Ensembl.